GACCGGGUAGCUCAAAUGGUAGAGUAGCCGACAUGUAUUCGGAAAGUUCUGGGUUCGAAUCCCAGUCCGUGCA
RNAcentral lists this transfer RNA (73 nucleotides) under Cotesia glomerata. Its description in RNAcentral is "tRNA-Thr". It matches the Rfam family "tRNA". From Rfam's summary of the family: Transfer RNA (tRNA) molecules are approximately 80 nucleotides in length. Their secondary structure includes four short double-helical elements and three loops (D, anti-codon, and T loops). Further hydrogen bonds mediate the characteristic L-shaped molecular structure. tRNAs have two regions of fundamental functional importance: the anti-codon, which is responsible for specific mRNA codon recognition, and the 3' end, to which the tRNAs corresponding amino acid is attached (by aminoacyl-tRNA synthetases). tRNAs cope with the degeneracy of the genetic code in two manners: having more than one tRNA (with a specific anti-codon) for a particular amino acid; and 'wobble' base-pairing, i.e. permitting non-standard base-pairing at the 3rd anti-codon position. The record is from RNAcentral. Lineage: Eukaryota; Metazoa; Arthropoda; Insecta; Hymenoptera; Braconidae.